Molecule: ribosomal RNA, 491 nt
Filed under: uncultured bacterium
Lineage: Bacteria
Description: bacterial SSU rRNA
Rfam family: Bacterial small subunit ribosomal RNA
Source: RNAcentral
AGCUACAGGCUUAACACAUGCAAGUCGAGGGGCAGCAUGUGGUUGCUGCAACCGAUGAUGGCGACCGGCGCACGGGUGAGUAACGCGUAUCCAACCUUCCCUAUAGUAGAGGAUAGCCCGGCGAAAGUCGGAUUAAUACUCUAUGUUGUUCAAUGCAGACAUCUAAGUUGAAUCAAAGGUUCACCGCUAUAGGAUGGGGAUGCGUCUGAUUAGGUAGUCGGCGGGGUAACGGCCCACCGAGCCAUCGAUCAGUAGGGGUUCUGAGAGGAAGGUCCCCCACAUUGGAACUGAGACACGGUCCAAACUCCUACGGGAGGCAGCAGUGAGGAAUAUUGGUCAAUGGGCGAGAGCCUGAACCAGCCAAAGUAGCGUGCAGGAUGACGGCCCUAUGGGUUGUAAACUGCUUUUAUACAGGGAUAAAGUCGGGGACGUGUCCCCGUUUCGUAGGUACUGUAUGAAUAAGGACCGGCUAAUUCCGUGCCAGCCGCCGC